RNAcentral lists this RNase P RNA (433 nucleotides) under Rhodospirillales bacterium. RNAcentral describes it as "RNase P RNA component class A". It matches the Rfam family "Bacterial RNase P class A". From Rfam's summary of the family: Ribonuclease P (RNase P) is a ubiquitous endoribonuclease, found in archaea, bacteria and eukarya as well as chloroplasts and mitochondria. Its best characterised activity is the generation of mature 5'-ends of tRNAs by cleaving the 5'-leader elements of precursor-tRNAs. Lineage: Bacteria; Pseudomonadati; Pseudomonadota; Alphaproteobacteria; Rhodospirillales. The record is from RNAcentral.
CCAGACGGCCGGAUGGUCGCCUCGGUGCGCGAAUUCGUUCGCGACCGGGGAGGAAAGUCCGGGCUCCACGGAAACACGGUGCCGGGUAACACCCGGCGGGGGCGACCCCAGGGAAAGUGCCACAGAAAGCAAACCGCCCACCGAAGCCCUCGGGCAUAGGCGGGCAAGGGUGAAAGGGUGCGGUAAGAGCGCACCGCGUUCCCGGCGACGGGGACGGCACGGCAAACCCCACCGGGAGCAAGACCGAAUAGGGACGGCACGCCCGAGGCCCUUCCUCGGAAGGGCAUUCGGCAGGCGCGUUUCCGCGCUGCUGUCCGGGUAGGUCGCGUGAGGCGUCCGGUAACGGGCGUCCCAGAUGAAUGGCCAUCCCUCGCACGCUCCGCUUGCGCGGCGCGUGCGAGGACAGAACCCGGCUUAUAGGCCGUCUGGCCCG